This 395-nucleotide ribosomal RNA is filed under the name uncultured Alphaproteobacteria bacterium. Its description in RNAcentral is "bacterial SSU rRNA". It matches the Rfam family "Bacterial small subunit ribosomal RNA", at positions 9 to 433 of the family's 1533-position model. Lineage: Bacteria; Pseudomonadati; Pseudomonadota; Alphaproteobacteria. The record is from RNAcentral.
GAGUUUGAUCUUGGCUCAGAACGAACGCUGGCGGCAGGCCUAACACAUGCAAGUCGAGCGCCCUAGCAAUAGGGAGCGGCGCACGGGUGAGUAACGCGUGGGAACGUCCCCUUAGGUAAGGAAUAACGCAGGGAAACUUGUGCUAAUACCUUAUAAUAGCUCCGGCUCAAAGCUCCGGCGCCUAAGGAUCGGCCCGCGUUGGAUUAGCUAGUUGGUGAGGUAAUGGCUCACCAAGGCUACGAUCCAUAGCUGGUCUUAGAGGAUGAUCAGCCACACUGGAACUGAGACACGGUCCAGACUCCUACGGGAGGCAGCAGUGAGGAAUAUUGGACAAUGGGGGCAACCCUGAUCCAGCCAUGCCGCGUGAGUGAUGAAGGCCUUCGGUUGUAAAGCUC